GACAGAGGGUGCAAACGUUGUUCGGAAUUACUGGGCGUAAAGCGCGUGUAGGCGGCCCUGCAAGUCGGAUGUGAAAUCCCACGGCUCAACCGUGGAAGUGCAUUCGAAACUGCAGGGCUAGAGUCCUGGAGAGGAAGGUGGAAUGCUUGGUGUAGAGGUGAAAUUCGUAGAUAUCGUAAGGAAGACCAGUGGCGAAGGCGGGUCUCUGGACAGUUCCUGACGCUGAGGCACGAAGGCCAGGGGAGCAAACGGG
RNAcentral lists this ribosomal RNA (253 nucleotides) under uncultured bacterium. RNAcentral's name for it is "partial 16S ribosomal RNA". It matches the Rfam family "Bacterial small subunit ribosomal RNA", at positions 524 to 776 of the family's 1533-position model. The record is from RNAcentral.